AGUAGCGUGGCUCAGUGGAAAGAGCCCGGGCUUGGGAGUCAGAGGUCAUGGGUUCGAAUCCCAACACUGUCA
Molecule: transfer RNA, 72 nt
Filed under: Ornithorhynchus anatinus (platypus)
Lineage: Eukaryota; Metazoa; Chordata; Mammalia; Monotremata; Ornithorhynchidae
Rfam family: tRNA
About the family: Transfer RNA (tRNA) molecules are approximately 80 nucleotides in length. Their secondary structure includes four short double-helical elements and three loops (D, anti-codon, and T loops).
Source: Rfam by way of RNAcentral